This 254-nucleotide ribosomal RNA is filed under the name uncultured bacterium. RNAcentral's name for it is "partial 16S ribosomal RNA". It matches the Rfam family "Bacterial small subunit ribosomal RNA", at positions 524 to 776 of the family's 1533-position model. The record is from RNAcentral.
UACGAAGGGGGGCUAGCGUUGUUCGGAAUUACUGGGCGUAAAGCGCACGUAGGCGGAUCGAUCAGUCAGGGGUGAAAUCCCAGGGCUCAACCCUGGAACUGCCUUUGAUACUGUCGAUCUGGAGUAUGGAAGAGGUGAGUGGAAUUCCGAGUGUAGAGGUGAAAUUCGUAGAUAUUCGGAGGAACACCAGUGGCGAAGGCGGCUCACUGGUCCAUUACUGACGCUGAGGUGCGAAAGCGUGGGGAGCAAACAGG